CGGGCGGGCGAAGAGGGGGCGGGAGCAGCGCGCGGAGAGUUUCGCAAUCGCCGCUCGCCCGCACUCAACACUUUAAAGAAAGAGACUCGGGCCCGGCCCGCGCCCCCUCCCCGCCCGCCCGCGGCCGGUACCGCAGCCGCAGCCGCCGCCGGGCCAGGAUCAUCUGGAUUUAGAGUCAGAUCCUACUGGGGUAUUCCUACUGAAGCCCAUGAGAAAGGAGGCCAUGUAUUGCUGUUCAGAUUUGGACUGAUUUUGCACUGGAUAGACAAGACAGCUGAUCGAAUUUGUACAGUAAAGUCAUCCUAAUGAUCAGAGUCAACCAAGUCGCAUCUCAGAAAAAGAAGCAGAGAGAAACACUUUAUAUUUUUUGCUGCUAAGUAAAAUACUGGUUUAAUUAACAAAUUUUUUUUUCCCCAAAACAAAAACUGGGAAGUUUAAUUUUUUUUCCUUUUGGAAAAGCAAAGAUAAUAAAGGUGUUGAUUUGCUCAGGA
Molecule: long non-coding RNA, 491 nt
Organism: Dromaius novaehollandiae (emu)
Lineage: Eukaryota; Metazoa; Chordata; Aves; Casuariiformes; Dromaiidae
Exons: 2
Source: RefSeq, a predicted model, not a curated record